RNAcentral lists this ribosomal RNA (507 nucleotides) under uncultured Glomeraceae. Its description in RNAcentral is "SSU rRNA". It matches the Rfam family "Eukaryotic small subunit ribosomal RNA", at positions 569 to 1078 of the family's 1831-position model. Lineage: Eukaryota; Fungi; Glomeromycota; Glomeromycetes; Glomerales; Glomeraceae. The record is from RNAcentral.
AGCAGCCGCGGUAAUUCCAGCUCCAAUAGCGUAUAUUAAAGUUGUUGCAGUUAAAAAGCUCGUAGUUGAAUUUCGGGAUCAAUAUAUCGGUCGUGCCAUUGGUACGUACUGGUAUCAUUGGUUUCUCCUUUCUGACGAACCAUGAUGUCAUUAAUUUGGUGUUAUGGGAAGUUAGGACUGUUACUUUGAAAAAUUAGAGUGUUUAAAGCAGGCUUUAGCUUGAAUACAUUAGCAUGGAAUAAUGAAAUAGGACGUUCGAACCUAUUUUGUUGGUUUCUAGGAUCAACGUAAUGAUUAAUAGGGAUAGUUGGGGGCAUUAGUAUUCAAUUGUCAGAGGUGAAAUUCUUGGAUUUAUUGAAGACUAACUACUGCGAAAGCAUUUGCCAAGGAUGUUUUCAUUAAUCAAGAACGAAAGUUAGGGGAUCGAAGACGAUCAGAUACCGUCGUAGUCUUAACCAUAAACUAUGCCGACUAGGGAUCGGAUGAUGUUAAUUUUUAAUGUACUCA